Long non-coding RNA from Cervus elaphus (red deer), 556 nucleotides. RefSeq lists it as uncharacterized. NCBI's taxonomy places the organism in Eukaryota, Metazoa, Chordata, Mammalia, Artiodactyla, Cervidae. The record is from RefSeq and is a predicted model, not a curated record. The transcript is spliced from 4 exons.
CCGGACUGUGGUACCCGCGUACUCUCGCGGUGAGCUGAAGAACUCAGCCGGGAGCAGUCCCGGCUGUGCGAGCCUCGGCGGACCUCCAGACAAUGGAGUCCAGAGUCUUGACAGCCUAGUGCGUCCGUGGUGCCGCCCUGAGGCCGAGCGCGUGCGAGGCGGAUUCUGUCAGAUCCUUCCCUCGAGAGCAGACAGAGAAAAGGGAUCUGUUUCCCUUAGUAGGAAAACAUUUGCUUUCAAGACUCCACUUCCAGUGUGUUCAUGUUGUCUGGGCUGUUCCGCAAACUGGCCUUACUUUUUCCUUCUUAAUGCAGUAGCAUGUAGCUGAGAACAGAAAAAAGCAGUCCCUGACAUCCAGGAACUGGCUUGACACUUACAGGAACAUGAACUGACUGUCUGCCACGUGUGGGUGCUGAGACUUGAAUUGUGAUCAAGCUACAGUCCCUGACUACGAGGGAGUCCAGUCUGGAGGAGGCAAAUCUGUAACCCAGGCCACGUACCUCAACUGCAUAUCUGUCAGGAGAGCAGGAGGGGCACAGAGGAUCCUAUUCAAGGC